This 467-nucleotide ribosomal RNA is filed under the name uncultured bacterium. RNAcentral's name for it is "partial 16S ribosomal RNA". It matches the Rfam family "Bacterial small subunit ribosomal RNA", at positions 29 to 507 of the family's 1533-position model. The record is from RNAcentral.
ACGCACGCUGGCGGCGUGCUUAACACAUGCCAGUCGCACGGAAAGGCCCUGCUUUUGUGGGGUGCUCGAGUGGCGAACGGGUGAGUAACACGUGAGUAACCUGCCCUUGACUUUGGGAUAACUUCAGGAAACUGGGGCUAAUACCGGAUAGGAGCUCCUGCUGCAUGGUGGGGGUUGGAAAGUUUCGGCGGUUGGGGAUGGACUCGCGGCUUAUCAGCUUGUUGGUGGGGUAGUGGCUUACCAAGGCUUUGACGGGUAGCCGGCCUGAGAGGGUGACCGGCCACAUUGGGACUGAGAUACGGCCCAGACUCCUACGGGAGGCAGCAGUGGGGAAUAUUGCACAAUGGGCGGAAGCCUGAUGCAGCAACGCCACGUGCGGGAUGACGGCCUUCGGGUUGUAAACCGCUUUCGCCUGUGACGAAGCGUGAGUGACGGUAAUGGGUAAAGAAGCACCGGCUAACUACGUG